This 100-nucleotide signal recognition particle RNA is filed under the name Bacteroidetes bacterium 4572_77. RNAcentral's name for it is "signal recognition particle sRNA small type". It matches the Rfam family "Bacteroidales small SRP". From Rfam's summary of the family: The non-coding component of the signal recognition particle in Bacteroides The record is from RNAcentral. Lineage: Bacteria; Pseudomonadati; Bacteroidota.
GGGUAAGUCUUGUACGACCAGCUCCCACAGAACUCCCCCAGGACGGGAACGUAGCAAGGGUAUGUGGUUGUAGCGGUGCGAUGCAAGUAGCUUGCCCUUU